RNAcentral lists this ribosomal RNA (497 nucleotides) under uncultured bacterium. Its description in RNAcentral is "partial 16S ribosomal RNA". It matches the Rfam family "Bacterial small subunit ribosomal RNA", at positions 28 to 507 of the family's 1533-position model. The record is from RNAcentral.
GAUGAACGCUGGCGGCGUGCCUAAUACAUGCAAGUCGAGCGAACAGAUGAGGAGCUUGCUCCUCUGACGUUAGCGGCGGACGGGUGAGUAACACGUGGAUAACCUACCUAUAAGACUGGGAUAACUUCGGGAAACCGGAGCUAAUACCGGAUAAUAUAUUGAACCGCAUGGUUCAAUAGUGAAAGACGGUUUUGCUGUCACUUAUAGAUGGAUCCGCGCCGCAUUAGCUAGUUGGUAAGGUAACGGCUUACCAAGGCAACGAUGCGUAGCCGACCUGAGAGGGUGAUCGGCCACACUGGAACUGAGACACGGUCCAGACUCCUACGGGAGGCAGCAGUAGGGAAUCUUCCGCAAUGGGCGAAAGCCUGACGGAGCAACGCCGCGUGAGUGAUGAAGGUCUUCGGAUCGUAAAACUCUGUUAUUAGGGAAGAACAAAUGUGUAAGUAACUAUGCAAGUCUUGACGGUACCUAAUCAGAAAGCCACGGCUAACUACGUG